This 898-nucleotide unclassified non-coding RNA is filed under the name Hevea brasiliensis (rubber tree). The record is from RNAcentral. Lineage: Eukaryota; Viridiplantae; Streptophyta; Magnoliopsida; Malpighiales; Euphorbiaceae.
AAAUGAUUCUACUUCUAAGCUCUUCUUCUUGAUGCUUGUAUAUAAAUACAUAUAUAUGUACUUCUCUCUAGAAACAAGCUUCAGUGUCAGAGCUCACUUAUAGCAAAAUAAAUCAAGAAAAGGGGGAAAACUUCUGGUCUGACCUUGUGUGUCUUCUCUGUGAUUGAUCAAAAUCUUCCCUUCUACUUCCACAACUGUCAAUUGAUCUAAGAAAAUGUGUCUCUCAAAUCUUCCAGCCUCAUCUGAAGGAGUAAUCUGUGUGGUUGUGAUGAACACUGCCUUAUCAAUCUCCAUUUUCAAAGGGAUAGUCCGGUCGGUCCUUCACAUUGUUGACAACCGCUUAGCACCCUUCUCCUCAUCAUCAUCUUCAAUCCUCUUUCCAGAUUACAGUGACACCGAAUCAUUUGAAUUUCCUUUACAUUCAUCAGACGAUUGCGUUAGGGAGCUCCGAAGCAGGAGGCCUGCAAAACGAUUUGAUGCAGUGUCUAGCUGUAAACAGCCUCAACAUGACUGCCCAGUUUGCUUGAUUCAAUUCAAGCCAGACUCGGAGAUAAAUUGCUUAUCCUGUGGCCAUGUUUUUCAUAAGGCGUGCUUGGAGAAGUGGUUGGAUUAUCGGAAAGUUACUUGUCCGCUUUACAGGUCUCCUGUGAUGCCUGAAGAAGAGGAUACAUCUUGCUCUUGGUAAGCAUAUACCAGAAGUUUGCUCGUCUCAGGAAAUGUUCACGUGCAGCGUGUUGUGUCCACUUGGUGUUUUGCAAGAGAUUAAGUUCAUUAUGGGUCCUUAAGAGACCACAAAAUUUUAUUAUAUAUUGUGCAAGGUUUAUAAUGUUCUUGCAUCUAUCCAACUUUGGUUUCCAACCGUAUCCCUUUUAAUAAUCAUUUGCAGAUUCCGUCUCUC